RNAcentral lists this unclassified non-coding RNA (4814 nucleotides) under Venturia canescens. RNAcentral describes it as "sodium- and chloride-dependent transporter XTRP3, transcript variant X4". The record is from RNAcentral. Lineage: Eukaryota; Metazoa; Arthropoda; Insecta; Hymenoptera; Ichneumonidae.
CCUUCACGAAGGCGCACACGCGCACACACGCGCGCCCAGAGCGAAGCUUUCGACGCAAGAACAGAAUUUACGGUGCGCGUGUACCUUCCCUCAGUUUGUUAUCGGCUUCCGUACGAGGCAGAUCACGUUGCACAUUUGUAUCAAAGUAGCCUUUAAGAACGUACAAAUUAAAUGAAAAUAAAUUCAUUAUUACCACCGUGAAGCACUUUUAUAAUCAACAAAAUAAAAUAUCGGGAGAACAAAAAACCAAAUUGACAACUGGUAUUUGCAACGAAUUGUGCACGUGCACGUGCGGCACUGGGCCAUCGCGCGUACCCGAGAAAACAAUAACUAAAGAAAACGAUAAGUUACAAAAAUUGAGCCAGCGUGAAACGUGAAAUUGGGACAAUUGGAGAAAAAGAAAAGCCUCAACAAUCGGUAUACAUGGGUCCGAAAUCCGCAAGGCCCGCCUCCAUACACACCGAGUACAACACAAGCUUGCGCAAUCUCAAGAGUAUCAAAUUUAAGUAAUCGAAAAUAUACACACGCAUAUGUAUAUAAAUAUAGUAUAUUUACAUAUGAAUUAAUGAAUAUAUCUGUAUAUACAUGUACAGAAAUAUAAUACAUUGAAAAUUGUAUGGAGAUUCGCAUUUUCUGUGCACGAAAAGGGGCGUGUAAUUAGUUACGUGACUUGGAUAAUAAAAAAAGCAACGCCACAAAUUGGAAACAGAAAACACAUCGUCGUAACAUCGUAACAUGCAAUAAAUCGAGAGCUAAUCGCAGCUCACUACUCUCGUCACGCUUCCAAUUAUAUCGACUAAUUUAACUAUCGAAGUUAUUAUUUUCCUGAAAAAUAAAGAGGCUACCACAACAAUCGGAGUUUCAAAAGUGUGCCAGAGUGUCAACGACGAUCGAAAAGAGUCUACGACUCGAUCGUAGAUUUAACAGGGUUGAAAAGUUGACGACGAUAAAUCAUCGAGGGCUGUGCUAUAUAUAUAUGAUACAUAAUAUAUUCGCUGCAUCGCAGUACGCGAAUCUGGAUAAAGCAGUUCUAAGAAAUUUUUGAAAUUUCUUUGACAUAUUUUCAAAACAGCGAUACCAGGGCGUCAUAAGACGUCAACUUUAUUGUUGUAUAAUACAUUCUGGCUGGAAAUCUUACGAGUGUAUCUUGCGCACCCACAAGUUUGGCAAAUAGAAAAAAAAAAAAGAAAAAAAAAACGAACGGAGCACAAGGGCUAUUGGAAAUCGGCUGUCCGAGUGAGUGAUCAAUUCAUUAUAGCUUCGCAUCCCUGGAAAAGAAUAACACUCCAGUAAAUGUAAAUGUACGUUUACCUGAGACAACGGAAAUCUUGAAAUAUAUAUUUUCUCAAUUGUCGAAGUGCUGUCGGUAGGCAAAAGCGUUUGUUUUCUUUUCCUUCGUGUCUGAUCGAAACGAGAUUUAUCCACUGAAAAGAUUCUCCCUGCUGCAUACUACUCGGAAAUACCUUGACGGACGACAGUUUCGCGAAAUUUUAUGUUACACGAACGGCGACGAAGUAAUUUCAAUUGAUUUUGUUUUUCGAGUGCGUUGCACUUUCCUGAGAAAAUCUGCUUGGGCGUCAUAAAAAAUACCGAGAAUUCUUGGAUCACUCAACGAGUUGCAACCUUUUGGCGACGAAGUAAAACGUCAAAGGCUAUAAAAAUCGUUAACCAAGUUCGAUUGCGAUUCACCUCGACUCGUGCAUCUGGCGUUUCUCCGAGGGGCUUGUUCCUCAAUCUUGUCCAGGGGCAACGACGACGACGACACCGGAGACAACGUCGCCGAUUAUUGUUGUUGUGGCAGAAUAACAGGGGCAGAGGGCGGGACGCGCGGAGAGAAACAGGGGAGGUGGUGAAGAGAGAACGAGGAGUACGAAGUUAAAUCGCCGCGACGAUUGAGUCUCGCGAGAGCCGCGAACAGGAAAACUAACCACCACCAAACGCUCCCGACCUCGAAUCCAAAGGGGAGGGAAAGGAAAAGAAAACAGAAUAAUUCACUGACCCAUGUGGAUCAACCGACUACAUAUUAUUUUUCAUUGGUGCGUUAUGAGUUUUAACGAAUGUUCAAAUACGAAAUGUACAUACGCAUGUUGAAAUAUAUAUGUUAAACGCUCAAGAAUCAUUCUCUCCGAGUUCCUGAAGAAUUUACGACGAAAGAUAAACGGAAGAAAAUCCAUCAGGACUUACUUCCUGGAGGACACGUCAAAGAUACUCAAACACAUUGACACUGACACAUGCAGACACUUAUAUAUUCAGGAAGUGGAUUCGCAAGAAGAUACUCGAUCGAAAAACGUCCUGAACAGAAUGAAAGAUCAAUGAUACAGAAGAGACGCGUAUUUACUAUGAAUUAGUGUCGCUGAUGCCUUGAAACUGAGGAAUACCUUCCAUCUCUUACGAAUGUUAUGAUUUUUCUACGUAAAACAAAAAAAUACGAUUUGAUCCGAGUGUCAUUUAAUUCCUCUGUUCGCGAUCCAGUGAUCGAUCGAUUACAUCCAGUGUGUGAAUUAUAUUUUCGAGCAACGAUUCAGUGGGAUUGGAAUUGCCGGGGAUCUUAAAAAUAACGAAAUUCUUGUUGAAUUGUUGAAGAGAUCGACUAGGAAAGAAAAAGAGAUAAAGCUAAUUUUUCCAGUUUCAAUAUUACCGAUAGUAUCGCUUACGUAUUACGGAAGAAAAUAAUAAGCAUUGUUAUAUAUUAAUACGCGAGAAUGGUUACGAAGUCGGAAAACGCGCGUAACGGGCACGAAUUGGCACCCCUCAACGAGGAACGCCAAGGUGGUCAUAACGUAACGAUUGUUGUGACCUCGAAUCAGAACGCAGCUGCAGGACAAGAUGGGAAUGAAAACAGAGCCGCGUGGAGCGGCAAGAUGCAAUUCUUCCUCAGCAUCAUCGGUUACAGUGUUGGUCUUGGAAAUAUCUGGAGGUUUCCAUAUUUGUGCCAGCAAAAUGGGGGUGGUGCCUUUCUCAUCCCCUUUUUCAUCAUGCUCGUACUGGAAGGAAUUCCCCUUUUCCUCAUCGAAUUGGGCAUGGGUCAACGCAUGAGACAGGGAGCUCUUGGGGUUUGGAAUACGAUUCAUCCCUGGCUCGGCGGGAUAGGAAUUGCUUCCUGUAUAGUGACUUUUUUCGUUGCUUUGUACUAUAAUGUUAUUAUCACAUGGUGCUUCUACUACCUCUUUAAUUCAGUUCAAACUAUCACGGUUAAAUUUGGAGACCCAUUGCCAUGGGCAUCGUGUCCACAAUUGGAUGGUAAACCGGUGGACGAGUGUGCCAAGAGUUCAGAGACAGCUUAUUUCUGGUAUCGCACCACCCUGGACGCUGCACCCUCGAUCGAAGAGGGUCAGGACAUCAAGUGGUGGAUUGCACUUUGUUUACUGCUCAGCUGGGUUAUCGUCUUCUUCAUCGUAAUGAAGGGAAUCCAAUCCUCGGGAAAGGUGGUCUACUUUACGUCCCUCUUCCCCUAUUUGGUGCUCACAAUUUUUUUCAUACGAGGAAUAACGUUAAGGGGAGCUGGUUCUGGUCUUGCUCACAUGUACACACCCAAGGUGGAAAAGCUGCUGGAACCAAGAGUUUGGCUGGACGCUGCGACACAAGUGUUUUAUAGUUUUGGUUUGGCCUUCGGCUCGUUGAUAGCCUUUGGGAGUUAUAACACACCGGAUAACAAUUGCGUGCGUGACGUCAUUCUUGUCAGUUGCUGCAACGUAUUCACUGCACUGUACGCCAGUGCCGUUGUGUUCGCGAUACUCGGGUUCAAAGCCAUGAGCAACGUUGACAAAUGCCUUGCCAGCAAUCGAGAAUUGCUCAUCGAUGCAGGAUUUCUCAGUGUCAAUGCUACUACUGAGCAAUAUCAAUUGGCUGCAGAAACUUACAAUACUUCGGGACAAAACUUUACCCUCGAUGCUUGCAGCAUCAGCAGUCAAUUGGAAAACGCCGCUGAAGGGACAGGCCUAGCUUUCAUAGUCUUUACCCAAGCAAUCGUUGAACUACCUGGUGCUCCAUUUUGGUCUUGUAUAUUCUUCCUGAUGUUAUUGGCGCUUGGGAUAGGCUCACAAAUCGGAAUUCUCGAGGGAAUGCUGUGUGUUAUUUUUGAUAUAGAUCUUUUCAAAAGGGUGAAAAAACAAUACAUUACAGGUGUUGUAUGCGUCGUUUGUUUCUUCGUUGGUCUCAUAUUCUGCACGGGAGCUGGUGAAUACUGGCUUAAAUUAUUUGACAGUUUUGCCAGCACCAUUGGGCUCGUGGUCGUCGCUCUAAUGGAAAUGAUUUCCGUUAUCUUCAUAUACGGUCAUGAAAAAUUUUCGAAGGACAUUCAAGAUAUGACUGGUUAUCGACCAGGCUGGUACUGGCAGAUAACAUGGCGGUUCCUCGCGCCCCUCAUCAUGGUCUGCAUCCUUGUUUCGAGUAUGGUUUCGAUGCUAGUCAAAAGACCCGAAUAUUCGGCGUGGAGUGCUUCUUUGGGGAUGACUGUACAAAGAAGUUAUCCCGACUGGGUGCUCGGAAUUGGCAUAUGUAUUAUUGUAGCCGGCGUUGCUCCGAUACCUAUCGUCUUCCUAUUGCGAAGAUUCCAAUGCGUUAAGCUCGACGUCGACAUACACCAGGGCAGUAUCCGGCGGAUUGACACGACGGUGUCAACCAAGGAAAUGAUGGGUGAUGUCGAUUGAGCCAAUUGAGCUUAUCCGGGAUGCUCACAUUGAAUGUACGAUCUGCAGUUGUAGCUGGACGAGUAUCACAGUAGACUGGAAGAUUUUUCAGAAGAGGAUGAGGACGUGAACAGCGAUGACGACAACAAUUCAGCACCGCAGAAUCUCCAAAAGAUGGCAGCAAAU